Rosa rugosa (rugosa rose) is the source of this 1645-nucleotide RNA transcript. RefSeq lists it as uncharacterized. The record is from RefSeq and is a predicted model, not a curated record. NCBI's taxonomy places the organism in Eukaryota, Viridiplantae, Streptophyta, Magnoliopsida, Rosales, Rosaceae. The transcript has 4 exons.
GCUGCUUAAAACCAGAAAACACUUAACCAAAAUCUAAAGCCUCCUCCGAAUUGAUCUCUCAUGUCUCCCUCUCUCUCUCAUCUCCUCCACCCACUGCCCCCUCCCCCACCCGAUCAUCAAUCAGACAUUCAGACUUCAGUUCCUUUCUUCCUCAAUCAUAAAUCCACUUUCGAUUUCGAUCCGAUUCUUCUGGGGCGAAGUGUCGAACUCCCUAUCUUGAAUCUGCCUCUUCUAGAAGCACCAUGUGCUCAAGGCCAAGGAUGAGAAGGCCCUCCUCGUCUGUGCGAAGCCAGUCGCCGUCUUUGGGCUCAGAAACCUGGAGGUGAUCCCAUGGUGUCGGUUGGUGUUGAUAUUGUCCACUGGAGUGUUGAUAUUGUCCACUACAAUUUUCUUUAAUUUGAUUGCAGUAUGACUCAGUAUAUGCAUGAAUUGAAUGGCUGAGCUUUUUUAGCUUGAUAUAGCUAAUACAAGGUUUAAUUCUAUCUUCAGUAUGGCUGAGCUUUGAUUGCAUCAGUAUGACUUGGUUUUCGAUAUGUCCUUGUGAUUUCAUUUCGGUGACGGCGCUGGGUUUGGGCGACAGGGUUUAUGCUAAGAUUUCUAGGGUGGAUAUGGAGGAGCGUCCGCAGAGAUUGGAUGGAAUAGGACAAUCCCAAUCUGGAGGUCUCAUUUUGGAACCUAUUGAUGUUCUACUGCAAAGACGGGAGCAAAAGGCAUUUACAAGGGUAUGGUAAAUUACUGUCCUUCGUGUCAAAGCUCAAAGUGGCUUACAUUUAUCAAUAUCAUGCAGCCACUUCAAUGCAUGUCAAAGCUCAAAGGCACAUAUUUAAUAUAUAUGAUCUUGACAUAUAUAAUGACACGUAUUUAAUAUAUAUAAUCUAGACAUAUAUAAUAUCAUCAGUAUAGUCUGAUCGUAGGAGGACCUACUAGUUGAUCAUGUUGGUUUUCCUUAUAUGUUUGCCCACUUUGCUUUUCCUAUGUUCAUUUCCAUUGGGUAAAUUCAGCAUAUGGUUACCGCAUUUUUGAUUGCCAACGUGAAGAUUAUAUUUUCCUUAAGAAUGCUUUCAAUCGAUCAAGAUUAUAGCAUCUUUGUUGUUCAUAUCUUAUCCAGCCACAUUUCACAUUUGCUGUUCGUUCUGCAACCAUUAUUUCCUGCGGAGGCUAGCAAUGAUUGGAAGGGGCCAAUAUGAUGCUGCCUAUGAUAUAGGUCAGUUAACUAUAUUUUUUCAGAAACAUAUAUUUACCCUGAAGACUGCAUUUUGUACUUCAGGUGAUACAAAAUUUUGGAUUGAGAUCUUGUGGGUCAGUCUCAGAAACUAAAUAGGCAAUAUCUUGUUGUAUUUCUGGUUAUGUUCAAAGUUUAGUAAUGUGUGUUGGAGUUGGUUUGUUUCUUUAGAAAGUGAAACUCAUGUGUGGAUUCAAAUGACUCUUGCUUGACAGGGAACUUGAUGUAUGCUCAUUCUUGGACAAGGAUUAUGUUGUAAUCUUAGUGAUAUUCCACCUUGAACAACAAUGUAUACUAGGAAUGUAAAGAACAUCUUGCUAUGAAUGUAAAGUUUAUUCAUGUUCGAUUGAGUUGUGGAUUUGUUCACUUGAUUGUAAAUAUUUGAAGUGAAUUUAUUGUACAGAAAUCAAAACUAUUAUUAUG